RNAcentral lists this transfer RNA (89 nucleotides) under Pyropia perforata. RNAcentral describes it as "tRNA-Ser". It matches the Rfam family "tRNA". From Rfam's summary of the family: Transfer RNA (tRNA) molecules are approximately 80 nucleotides in length. Their secondary structure includes four short double-helical elements and three loops (D, anti-codon, and T loops). Lineage: Eukaryota; Rhodophyta; Bangiophyceae; Bangiales; Bangiaceae. The record is from RNAcentral.
GGAGAGAUGGCAGAGUGGUUUAUUGCAACAAUUUCGAAAAUUGUCAUAACUAACUAUAGUUAUCAAGGGUUCGAAUCCCUUUCUCUCCU